RNAcentral lists this ribosomal RNA (136 nucleotides) under uncultured eukaryote. RNAcentral describes it as "partial 18S ribosomal RNA". It matches the Rfam family "Eukaryotic small subunit ribosomal RNA", at positions 1299 to 1458 of the family's 1831-position model. The record is from RNAcentral.
UGGUGGAGUGAUUUGUCUGGUUAAUUCCGUUAACGAACGAGACCUCUGGGUGUUAGAUGGGCUGCAUUUGGUUUCAAGUGUAUCUCUCCUAAACCGACUUUUAGUGACUAACUAAAGGAAGCUGGAGGCAAUAACA